Long non-coding RNA from Phyllostomus discolor (pale spear-nosed bat), 466 nucleotides. RefSeq lists it as uncharacterized. The record is from RefSeq and is a predicted model, not a curated record. NCBI's taxonomy places the organism in Eukaryota, Metazoa, Chordata, Mammalia, Chiroptera, Phyllostomidae. The transcript has 3 exons.
UGGAGAGCGGCAGGCGGUCCUCAAGCUGGGACACUGGUGGGGUCGGCCCGCAGGCGCAGCCCCUCCAGCUCCAGCUGGUAAAACCUGGAGUGAGUGAAACUGUUUGCAGGCUCUAACCAUAUCACUCACUGGGCAUGCCCAGUGGGCAUUGCUGGCUUUGGUGACAAAGGAGUUAAGGCUAAGUGAACUUGCAGAAUUGGUAGUAGAGAAGUCUGAAGUGUGUGGCUUUAAAUUAUAGUUUGAGUCCUGCAAACAUUUAAAUUCCUAACCCUAUUAUAUUCCUAGCCUGGGUUAGUCUUAGAACAGAAACAACAGACAUAUUUAUUUCUACACCACAAACCUAAUAGCUUCAGCCUCAAAUGCUAUAAGAGUUUCAUCAAGAGGAAUCCAGGACACUAAACCGUCAACUUUGCAAUGUUGUAAUGCCAUUCUUCAAUGGCAAAUAUUAUAUGAACUAUCUUAAGGA